GAUGAACGCUGGCGGCGUGCCUAAUACAUGCAAGUCGAGCGAACGGACGAGAAGCUUGCUUUUCUGAUGUUAGCGGCGGACAGGUGAGUAACACGUGGAUAACCUACCUAUAAGACUGGGAUAACUUCGGGAAACCGGAGCUAAUACCGGAUAAUAUUUUGAACCGCAUGGUUCAAAAGUGAAAGACGGUCUUGCUGUCACUUAUAGAUGGAUCCGCGCUGCAUUAGCUAGUUGGUAAGGUAACGGCUUACCAAGGCAACGAUGCAUAGCCGACCUGAGAGGGUGAUCGGCCACACUGGAACUGAGACACGGUCCAGACUCCUACGGGAGGCAGCAGUAGGGAAUCUUCCGCAAUGGGCGAAAGCCUGACGGAGCAACGCCGCGUGAGUGAUGAAGGUCUUCGGAUCGUAAAACUCUGUUAUUAGGGAAGAACAUAUGUGUAAGUAACUGUGCACAUCUUGACGGUACCUAAUCAGAAAGCCACAGCUAACUACGUG
This 497-nucleotide ribosomal RNA is filed under the name uncultured bacterium. RNAcentral's name for it is "partial 16S ribosomal RNA". It matches the Rfam family "Bacterial small subunit ribosomal RNA", at positions 28 to 507 of the family's 1533-position model. The record is from RNAcentral.